GACGAACGCUGGCGGCGUGCUUAACACAUGCAAGUCGAACGGUGACGAGGAGCUUGCUCCUCUGAUCAGUGGCGAACGGGUGAGUAACACGUGAGUAACCUGCCCCAGACUCUGGGAUAACAGUUGGAAACAGCUGCUAAUACCGGAUACGAGACGGAGAGGCAUCUCUACCGUCUGGAAAGUUUUUCGGUCUGGGAUGGACUCGCGGCCUAUCAGCUUGUUGGUGAGGUAAUGGCUCACCAAGGCGACGACGGGUAGCCGGCCUGAGAGGGCGACCGGCCACACUGGGACUGAGACACGGCCCAGACUCCUACGGGAGGCAGCAGUGGGAAUAUUGCACAAUGGGCGAAAGCCUGAUGCAGCGACGCCGCGUGAGGGAUGACGGCCUUCGGUUGGUAAACCGUACUUUCCUAGCAGGGAAGGAAAGGACGGAAAAGGUAGGAAC
This 445-nucleotide ribosomal RNA is filed under the name uncultured bacterium. RNAcentral's name for it is "bacterial SSU rRNA". It matches the Rfam family "Bacterial small subunit ribosomal RNA", at positions 28 to 509 of the family's 1533-position model. The record is from RNAcentral.